This 511-nucleotide ribosomal RNA is filed under the name Bacillus siamensis. Its description in RNAcentral is "bacterial LSU rRNA". It matches the Rfam family "Bacterial large subunit ribosomal RNA", at positions 2058 to 2568 of the family's 2925-position model. The record is from RNAcentral. Lineage: Bacteria; Bacillati; Bacillota; Bacilli; Caryophanales; Bacillaceae.
GAUGCAGGUUACCCGCGACAGGACGGAAAGACCCCGUGGAGCUUUACUGCAGCCUGAUAUUGAAUGUUGGUACAGCUUGUACAGGAUAGGUAGGAGCCUUGGAAACCGGAGCGCCAGCUUCGGUGGAGGCAUCGGUGGGAUACUACCCUGGCUGUAUUGACCUUCUAACCCGCCGCCCGUAUCGGGCGGGGAGACAGUGUCAGGUGGGCAGUUUGACUGGGGCGGUCGCCUCCUAAAAGGUAACGGAGGCGCCCAAAGGUUCCCUCAGAAUGGUUGGAAAUCAUUCGCAGAGUGUAAAGGCACAAGGGAGCUUGACUGCGAGACCUACAAGUCGAGCAGGGACGAAAGUCGGGCUUAGUGAUCCGGUGGUUCCGCAUGGAAGGGCCAUCGCUCAACGGAUAAAAGCUACCCCGGGGAUAACAGGCUUAUCUCCCCCAAGAGUCCACAUCGACGGGGAGGUUUGGCACCUCGAUGUCGGCUCAUCGCAUCCUGGGGCUGUAGUCGGUCCCAA